This 436-nucleotide ribosomal RNA is filed under the name Campylobacter jejuni. RNAcentral describes it as "bacterial SSU rRNA". It matches the Rfam family "Bacterial small subunit ribosomal RNA", at positions 460 to 894 of the family's 1533-position model. The record is from RNAcentral. Lineage: Bacteria; Pseudomonadati; Campylobacterota; Epsilonproteobacteria; Campylobacterales; Campylobacteraceae.
AGAAAAUCCUGCACGGUCACCUACGGAUAAGCACCGGCUAACUCCGUGCCAGCAGCCGCGGUAAUACCUAGGGUGCAAGCGUUACUCGGAAUCACUGGGCGUAACGGGCGCCUAAGCGGAUUAUCAAGGCUCUUGUGACAUCUAAUGGCUUAACCAUUAAACUGCUUGGGAAACUGAUAGUCUAGAGUGAGGGAGAGGCAGAUGGAAUUGGUGGUGUAGGGGUAAAAUCCGUAGAUAUCACCAAGAAUACCCAUUGCGAAGGCGAUCUGCUGGAACUCAACUGACGCUAAGGCGCGAAAGCGUGGGGAGCAAACAGGAUUAGAUACCCUGGUAGUCCACGCCCUACACCAUGUACACUAGUUGUUGGGGUGCUAGUCAUCUCAUCAAUGCAGCUAACGCAUUAAUUGUACCGCCCUGGGGAGUACGGACGCAAUAU